This 245-nucleotide ribosomal RNA is filed under the name uncultured Bellilinea sp. Its description in RNAcentral is "partial 16S ribosomal RNA". It matches the Rfam family "Bacterial small subunit ribosomal RNA", at positions 527 to 771 of the family's 1533-position model. Lineage: Bacteria; Bacillati; Chloroflexota; Anaerolineae; Anaerolineales; Anaerolineaceae. The record is from RNAcentral.
GUAGGUGGCAAGCGUUAUCCGGAUUUACUGGGCGUAAAGGGUGUGCAGGCGGGACUGCAAGUGGUGUAUGUAAUCUCCCAGCUUAACUGGGAUAGGUUAUGCCAGACUGCAGUUCUAGAGGACGAGAGAGGGGGGUGGAAUUCCGGGUGUAGUGGUGAAAUGCGUAGAGAUCCGGAGGAACCCCAGAGGCGAAGGCGGCCCCCUGGCUCGUAUCUGACGCUCAGCCACGAAAGCAUGGGGAGCGA